RNAcentral lists this ribosomal RNA (305 nucleotides) under uncultured bacterium. Its description in RNAcentral is "partial 16S ribosomal RNA". It matches the Rfam family "Bacterial small subunit ribosomal RNA", at positions 508 to 807 of the family's 1533-position model. The record is from RNAcentral.
ACAGCAGUAGCCGCGGUAAUACGGAGGGUGCAAGCGUUAAUCGGAAUUACUGGGCGUAAAGCGCACGCAGGCGGUCUGACAAGUCAGAUGUGAAAUCCCCGGGCUUAACCUGGGAACUGCAUUUGAAACUGUCAGGCUGGAGUCUUGUAGAGGGGGGUGGAAUUCCAGGUGUAGCGGUGAAAUGCGUAGAGAUCUGGAGGAAUACCGGUGGCGAAGGCGGCCCCCUGGACAAAGACUGACGCUCAGGUGCGAAAGCGUGGGGAGCAAACAGGAUUAGAUACCCUUGUAGUCCCUGUCUCUUAUAC